Danio rerio (zebrafish) is the source of this 1764-nucleotide non-coding RNA. NCBI's taxonomy places the organism in Eukaryota, Metazoa, Chordata, Actinopteri, Cypriniformes, Danionidae. The record is from RefSeq and is a predicted model, not a curated record.
UUAUAAUGUUUUUAUGCAAAGUAUAUAUUUUGAAAAGGGGAAAAUCAAUAAAUCCCUGUAUGAAUUAUGUAAUAUUUAAAUAAUUUUCCAUUUAAAACUUGUGAAUGUCACGUGACCAUCAGGAAGAACGCAGCAUCUCAUUUCUUACAGGACGUGUUCUCUGUCCUUGUGGUCUCCCGAGCUUGUUCUUCUGAGAACACCUGGCAAGACUGUCUCCACAAGAAUGCAAGUCCGUUCUCUGCGUUCUUGGAAUUGAGAAACAGCCGUUGCCUCUAAUCUCAUCUGAGCUCAUUGCCAAAGGACAUAAUUCAGGACAAACUGAUUAUACAAGGUGAUUAAAAAAAAAAUACCACAACUUUCAGGUUGAUGUCACUCGAGUGUCUGGAGGGGUCAUAUUGGACUUCUAUGAACUUGUUUUUUACUAAAAAAAACUUUGUUAAGUACUCUUUAUAUUGGUUAAUUACUCAAGGUUUCAUCAUGUUUCUUUGAUGAAAUACAGGUUUUCAAAGGUUUGGUAUUUUUUUUAAUUACCAUGUAUAUUUAUUCAGCCCCCAAGCCCCUGAAAAAGCAUAAGGUCUGUUUAAUGACUUUGUAUUUUCUUAGGUUGUUGUGUGCUUUGUGAAUUUUGCCAUGUAUGUUUGUACUGAGACAAUAUACGUGUGUUUGUAAUAAGGCAACAUACACAUGUAAAUACACAUGUAAACUGAUAAAAAAAGGGUUUAAGGGAUGUUUAUACAUUUUAUCACUCAGCUUAAGUUUUUCCUUUUUUCCACACCACUACAUACAUUCAAUUAAUAUGCUUACCUAUCUAACCCUCCCAUUUUUCCCGAGAUUCUCCCAUAUUUUACAAUUAGUUUGCGCUAUCAUCCUGUUUAAGUAUUUUCCUGUAUUUCUCUUUUUUUUUUUUUUCCCUAUGAAGGCUGGUAAUAAACAUCAAAGAGCCGGUUGUUCCUAUACGCAACCCAUACCACCGAACCACCAGGUGCUGUUGCUCCUAUGCAAUCUUCAAAACAGUCAAUUCCUGUAGCGGUGUGUGACUGUCAGCUGCCCCAUAGUGAUAAAUAGAUGCUGUUUCCCAAAUGGACUCUGUAAAUGCAAUUUGAAGCGGAGCAAAAGUGGACACUCUGGAUUUUGGGUUAAUGUUUGAACAGACAUUUACACAUAAUAAUAUAAUAAUAAUAUUAAUGCAGUGCCAUUGAUGCGAUCCAAGACUUGUGAAGAUAUGAUCCCAAGGUAUUCAUAAUCUUGGACCUGAUGAUGGUCAUGGAGGAAUGGAGUACAUGAGACUGAUUGCGGAAAGAGCACAGGACAAAUGAGUCCCUGCAUUGAAUCCGUGGGCCAGCCUGACCUCCCACCAGUGCCCUACCAACACCUGCAGCUUCUCCACGAUGGACAUCCUGCUUCUCCAGCCUCCGGUGCCUAGACUGCAGCUCCACACAGGAAGUUUGGCCGGAAGAAUAAUAGUCAUGCCCAACAGAGCCUGGUUUCUCUCAAGGUUAUUUUUUUUCCUUCACUUUGCCAAUUGGUGAUUUUUUUUUUUCCUCCCACUGUCGCCAUGCACUGGUUUGCUCAGAUCGGGACGUGUGGAGCUGCACUCUAGCUGGGAAACAAUUUUUUUAUUAAAUAAGCAUAAAAAGUUAGGAAAGCAAUGGAAUGCUUUCAUUACAGAUUUGUGCAAUUUUAAAGUGACACCUCUGUUAAUGUCAGCAAACGAAAAAUCUAAAUCCCUUAUUUUUACAUGCCAAUGUUGACAGGUAUUCAAAU